This 76-nucleotide transfer RNA is filed under the name uncultured archaeon. Its description in RNAcentral is "tRNA-Lys(ctt)". The record is from RNAcentral.
CGUCUGCGAUUUCGAGAGGCAGAAUUUUCCGCUCUUAACGGACAAGGUCUCGGUUCGAGCCCGAGGCGGACGACCA